RNAcentral lists this long non-coding RNA (1266 nucleotides) under Rattus norvegicus (Norway rat). RNAcentral's name for it is "long non-coding RNA NONRATT005470". The record is from RNAcentral. Lineage: Eukaryota; Metazoa; Chordata; Mammalia; Rodentia; Muridae.
UCAUUCUGGAGCCAGGGGCAGCGAGGACAUCUAAGAACUGUGACUUUGGAGGCUACUUAGGCUAGGGCUUUGAGUGCACCCUGAACUGAAGUGCAGUGUACAGCAGUUUCAAAUGAGGUGUGGGGUUUGGGGGUGGCCUCCCUCCUAGGCAGGAUGUGCUGGGCCCCCUGAAUGACCUCACUAUGGUACUGAAUGAGUGGUCAGUGCUGGGCACGGGGACCUGGCAGAGACAACUUGAAGGACGUAUUACCCUGGCUCACGAUUUCAGAGGGUUGCAGUUAUAGUGAAGUUCAUGGCAGUGGGAGUGUGGCUGAGCCCCUCACAUGGUAAGGCACCAGGAAGCAGAGAAGGAGCAUCCAAAGGCAGGUACAUCCCUCAAACCAGGAGGAUAGACUUCACAUUCUACAGGUUCCACAGCCUUCUAAGCAGUGCCAGCAGCUGGGGACCACAGUGAGGUCCAAGUGAGGCCGUGGAGGACAGCUCACAUCUGAAGCACAAUACUUGAAGCACAUGCAUAGGCUGUGCAGGUUCUAGCAUGGUGGAUAGAUCCUGCCUGUCCUGCUUGGGUGAGUUGCCUGGCCUGACCUAGGACAGCCUUGUCCCUGUGGCUGCUUUGCCUCUGGCUGCCUGUCCACUCAGGAGUAAUACUGCAGUUGUGUUGAAUGCUGGGCUUCCGGAAGCUUGCAACUCAUGGGCUCCUGCUGACCCAACCUGGCAGCUUUUUGAACUGACAGAGGACUUCUAAGGAUUCCAGGCAGCUUCCUUUUGGGUUGCAGUCAUGUGACUGGCUUUUACCCUCUCAAACCUGAUGGGGAAGUGUCCACAGAGGCUUCUGGGCCUACUCGCAUACAUUCUAGCCUUCAGAAGGAGGCCAGACAGGUUCUAAGGCAGGCCCAGUGGGUAAAGAAAGAGUAAGUCCAAAGCCAAGGCCCUGCCUUGUGAGUCACCCCAUUGCCUGCUGUUGGGCUCUUCCAGUGUUGGGGGCUUGAACAGAUCCACAGUUGCCAUGGUGUGUCUCCGCAGUUCAGAAAGGCAGCACUGCACAGUAAAAUUGCUAGUGAGGGGAGCCAACUGGCACUGGGCCCAUCCACAGGGACCUCAGGGCCAUUCUUAGUGAUGCAGGCACACUCGUUCACACUCUCACAGGGAUCCGCGUAGACCCCAGUGUAGACACUUGAAAACCCCUGACUGCUUUUCAGUGUGUUUUGUAAAGAGUAAAAAGCUGUGAAAAAUAAACCAAUUAAGGGGGAAAAAGGUGUGGCUCUU